GGAAUGGGGAGUGGUGAAUGUGGAACGGCGGUGAUAGAUCCCGAAAGAAGAUAACUGCUUGUUUUCUUCACCGCCACCAGUCUACCUACCUGCUCUCUGCACACUCGGCAGAGCGCGGCAGGGCACCCCACGGAGCUGCACUAGUCACAUCCGGGCCCCACGCCGGUCGACGGCCGAUGCGAUGGAGGCACUACUCCGAGCUGGACUGGUGGCCGGCUCGGAGCUGGUGGAUGUCGACCGCGGAGCGGCGAUCUACUCCUUCCGCCGGGCCCGGCAGCAGGAGCUCCAGAUGUCCUUGUGCCACCCGUCCGGCCAGGCCUCCAUCCACCUUGUAGAGGCGGAGCGGGAGACGGUGAAGCUCACGGCUCCGUUGGAACAUGGCCGCUGGGAGGCCUGCGGCGCGGACGACGGAUGCGGCAGUUGGUCAAGACACGGCAGCCUACUCGAGGUGCUUCUCGCCUGGAGGACGCAGGCGAAUCGCGUUAUCCGAGCUGUGCCUCGUCAUGGUGCGAUGAGCCUUAAUAGACUAAUGCAUAUUCUUCCUUUGGUUGUAAUUCAUUUGCUGCUGCCCGCUGGGCUAAGGAGUAACUCUGGGCGCCUACUUUGGGCAGACGCUCGUCCAGUGCCGCCCUUCGUUUGCCGCACAUAUCUUUAUUUAUUCUUUGUUACAAUUCCGUCUUUGGUCAUUUUUUUUACCAUGGGGGCACUUGAAAGUUUUGUUUUCAAAUCUGUGGACAUUGAACCUGGAAUCGGUUUUUUGUCGGAUUUCGGUUUUGUUUUUGCACUGUGGAAAUAUCUCGUUCAAUAUUUUUUAAGAUAGGGCGUGCUACAACUUUUGUCUCAUUACUCCUCGGUGCAUCUAAAUUCUAAAGUACUAUAAUGUGCAUCUCAAGUGUUUGGUGCUGUACUGUUAUUACUUAUGGUUAAUCCAGUGCUGUACUGUUAUUAUUUAUGGUUAAUCCAGUUUUUAUUCGAUUGAAUCGUUGUGUGUAAUGUGCAUGACAUCCGCGUACCGCCUGUAGCAGUGUUAUAUAUUUUCAUUUAUGCUGGAAAAUAAUAACUUUCUUGUUCA
This is a long non-coding RNA of Amphibalanus amphitrite, 1072 nucleotides long. RefSeq lists it as uncharacterized. The record is from RefSeq and is a predicted model, not a curated record. NCBI's taxonomy places the organism in Eukaryota, Metazoa, Arthropoda, Thecostraca, Balanomorpha, Balanidae. The transcript is spliced from 2 exons.